GGGCAUGUAGUGUAGGGGUUAUCGCGCCUCAUUUGCAAGUUUGCGGUGAAGCAAGCUACGAUUUGAGGAGGUCCUGAGUUCAAUUCUCAGCUUGUCCA
RNAcentral lists this transfer RNA (98 nucleotides) under Rhizoctonia solani. Its description in RNAcentral is "tRNA-Ala". It matches the Rfam family "tRNA". Rfam says of the family: Transfer RNA (tRNA) molecules are approximately 80 nucleotides in length. Their secondary structure includes four short double-helical elements and three loops (D, anti-codon, and T loops). Further hydrogen bonds mediate the characteristic L-shaped molecular structure. tRNAs have two regions of fundamental functional importance: the anti-codon, which is responsible for specific mRNA codon recognition, and the 3' end, to which the tRNAs corresponding amino acid is attached (by aminoacyl-tRNA synthetases). tRNAs cope with the degeneracy of the genetic code in two manners: having more than one tRNA (with a specific anti-codon) for a particular amino acid; and 'wobble' base-pairing, i.e. permitting non-standard base-pairing at the 3rd anti-codon position. Lineage: Eukaryota; Fungi; Basidiomycota; Agaricomycetes; Cantharellales; Ceratobasidiaceae. The record is from RNAcentral.